UUAAGCGACUAAGCGUACACGGUGGAUGCCCUGGCAGUCAGAGGCGAUGAAGGACGUGCUAAUCUGCGAUAAGCGUCGGUAAGGUGAUAUGAACCGUUAUAACCGGCGAUUUCCGAAUGGGGAAACCCAGUGUGAUUCGUCACACUAUCAUUAACUGAAUCCAUAGGUUAAUGAGGCGAACCGGGGGAA
Molecule: ribosomal RNA, 189 nt
Filed under: Escherichia coli 1-110-08_S1_C2
Lineage: Bacteria; Pseudomonadati; Pseudomonadota; Gammaproteobacteria; Enterobacterales; Enterobacteriaceae
Description: partial 23S ribosomal RNA
Rfam family: Bacterial large subunit ribosomal RNA
Source: RNAcentral